RNAcentral lists this ribosomal RNA (392 nucleotides) under uncultured Gammaproteobacteria bacterium. RNAcentral's name for it is "bacterial SSU rRNA". It matches the Rfam family "Bacterial small subunit ribosomal RNA", at positions 370 to 779 of the family's 1533-position model. The record is from RNAcentral. Lineage: Bacteria; Pseudomonadati; Pseudomonadota; Gammaproteobacteria.
AAUGGGCGCAAGCCUGAUCCAGCCAUGCCGCGUGUGUGAUGAAGGCCCUAGGGUUGUAAAACACUUUCAGUGGGGAAGAUAAUGACGGUACCCACAGAAGAAGCUCCGGCUAACUCCGUGCCAGCAGCCGCGGUAAUACGGAGGGAGCUAGCGUUGUUCGGAAUUACUGGGCGUAAAGCGCACGUAGGCGGAUUUGUUAGUCAGAGGUGAAAUCCCGGGGCUCAACCUCGGAACUGCCUUUGAUACUGCAAGUCUAGAGACCGAGAGAGGUGAGUGGAAUUUCCAGUGUAGAGGUGAAAUUCGUAGAUAUUGGAAAGAACACCAGUGGCGAAGGCGGCUCACUGGCUCGGUACUGACGCUGAGGUGCGAAAGCGUGGGGAGCAAACAGGAUU